GAAAUGCGAUAAAUAAUAUGAAUUGCAGAAUUCAGCGAAUCAUCGAGUUUUUGAACGCACAUUGCGCCCUCUGGUAUUCCGGAGGGCACGUCCGACCGAGCGUCGCGUCACCGCUCAGGCCCAGCCUGGUGAUGGGGCAUGCGGGAAACCGCAGCCCCCAAAUGCAGUGGCGGUUCCCGACGGGUUCCCUUGCGCAGUAGAAGCAUCUCAGCUGUCGCCUCGGAGCCCGCGCGGGCGGCCUGCCGUAAAACACACCCACGUCUUCCAAUGGUUGACCUCGGGUCGGACGAGAUUACCCGCUGAACUUAA
This 309-nucleotide unclassified non-coding RNA is filed under the name uncultured Sordariomycetes. Its description in RNAcentral is "sequence contains ITS1". The stretch from base 1 to 105 matches the Rfam family "5.8S ribosomal RNA", at positions 50 to 154 of the family's 154-position model. Lineage: Eukaryota; Fungi; Ascomycota; Sordariomycetes. The record is from RNAcentral.